Long non-coding RNA from Symphalangus syndactylus (siamang), 589 nucleotides. RefSeq lists it as uncharacterized. The record is from RefSeq and is a predicted model, not a curated record. NCBI's taxonomy places the organism in Eukaryota, Metazoa, Chordata, Mammalia, Primates, Hylobatidae.
CCAGAAAGCUUCAGUGACUUCCCUGAAAAGAUCCCUAACAGGAUGAUUCUAACAGUGAAUUGUCUCCUUUCUCCAGUGUCUUAGUUUGGAGUUGCUUGAAAGCAGGAAAGAAAUCCCAGGAAAGGAAAGAAGAACAAAGAAAGUAUGACAGACCCAAGAAGAGACAAUAAAGCAGGUAGCAGAAGAAGAAGUCGGAGAGACUUAGUAUGAGGGGCAUUCGUGAUUCUCUGUUGCUGACAUGGAGAGGCCCUGUGGCAAGGAGCUGAGAGUGGCCCCUCGGAGAAGCAGAAGAUGGACUAAGACAAUGAAUGACAAGGUUGGAAGUACAUUUGAUGAUUGGAUAUUGAUGAAACUCCAUGAAGAAUGCUUCAGCAGAGGUACAAAGUCACGGGGUCGAUGGGAAGCACCGACCAAGCUGCCACCUUUCCUUUUUACUCUCUCUCUCUCUGCCUCCCCUGCACAUUCCCCACAUGGGCUGCUCAACCUGAUUCUGUCUUCAGCUUCAGCGUAUUCCCCACACCAUCUGAUUCCCUCCCAAAGGAGACUUGGACACUAAGCAAGAGCCCUGAUGCUCUUUUAUUCCCACCCC